Molecule: ribosomal RNA, 484 nt
Filed under: uncultured bacterium
Lineage: Bacteria
Description: partial 16S ribosomal RNA
Rfam family: Bacterial small subunit ribosomal RNA
Source: RNAcentral
AUUGAACGCUGGCGGCAGGCCUAACACAUGCAAGUCGAGCGGAUGAAGGGAGCUUGCUCCUGGAUUCAGCGGCGGACGGGUGAGUAAUGCCUAGGAAUCUGCCUGGUAGUGGGGGAUAACGUCCGGAAACGGGCGCUAAUACCGCAUACGUCCUGAGGGAGAAAGUGGGGGAUCUUCGGACCUCACGCUAUCAGAUGAGCCUAGGUCGGAUUAGCUAGUUGGUGGGGUAAAGGCCUACCAAGGCGACGAUCCGUAACUGGUCUGAGAGGAUGAUCAGUCACACUGGAACUGAGACACGGUCCAGACUCCUACGGGGGGCAGCAGUGGGGAAUAUUGGACAAUAGGCGAAAGCCUGAUCCAGCCAUGCCGCGUGUGUGAAGAAGGUCUUCGGAUUGUAAAGCACUUUAAGUUGGGAGGAAGGGCAGUAAGUUAAUACCUUGCUGUUUUGACGUUACCAACAGAAUAAGCACCGGCUAACUUCGUG